UCGAUUAUGAAAAAACUUAGUAAGCACGUUUUAUUUCUGAAUUAAUCCAUGUGAAAAAUUUCUGUACUGCAAAGGUCAAAAAGGUAAUAUUCAGAAUGCGCGAACGCGAAAUAAAAGCACUGUGGGAGGAAAUGGUAUACCAAUGUGGUGGAAUGUUCUCGGAUGAGGAAUUGUUUAA
Drosophila willistoni is the source of this 178-nucleotide long non-coding RNA. RefSeq lists it as uncharacterized. NCBI's taxonomy places the organism in Eukaryota, Metazoa, Arthropoda, Insecta, Diptera, Drosophilidae. The record is from RefSeq and is a predicted model, not a curated record. The transcript has 2 exons.